Molecule: long non-coding RNA, 7601 nt
Organism: Microplitis demolitor
Lineage: Eukaryota; Metazoa; Arthropoda; Insecta; Hymenoptera; Braconidae
Exons: 3
Source: RefSeq, a predicted model, not a curated record
CAUUACAUCAUUAGUGGCACGUGGCUUACGUGAUUCAAUAGAAAUCAUUGCCAAUAAGGAAAGAAAAGAAUAUCAUAUGUAAACGAUGGAUCAAGACACUGUAAUCAAAUGAAACGUAUUAAUUACUCUAAAAAAAUAAUAAUAUUGAAAGAUAAAGCUGACGAGGUUUGUGCUUUAACUCGUCUAUGCAUAAAAUUAACCGAGGAUCAGCGAAGAAAGAUUAUUGAUGGCAUGGAAGCUGCUAAGAAAGAGAAAUCAUCAAAAUCUCCGACGAAAAGAUUUAAUGAGCGGGAAAAACAAGUGAAGAUAAAAAGAAGGAUGAAGAUAAAUCUAUGAAGACAAUGAUCAAGAUGUAUCAAAUAUUUCAAGUGAUUCGGAGGAAGAAACACCACGUACCUCAGUGGGUAUACUCUCUGGGCUGAGAUUAAAACUUUACCCGUAAUUCUGUCUUUGACGAAAAUUGAAGGAGGUAAAUAAAAAAUACGCACUAGUGUUGUCACAAUUUGGUGCUACUCUUUGAUUAUUUACAAUUGAUACUAGACAACCGAUAUUAUCAGUUAAUCGUCCAUAAGCAAUCGAAAUAUCGAUUAAUUUUAGCAAAAAAAAAGAAGUUUUUGUCUUAAUCAACUGCAUAGUUGUACAAUCGAUAACUCAAUAAUUGAUUGUGAAAAUCGAUUUUCGAAGCAGUUCAAUUGCGCUGUGGCUUAAUCAUUCUCCAAAUUAUGACCAGAUAUCGCACUGGUACAUGGAAUGGAAAAAUGCUGAAUGAUGGACUCUUGGCUGAGCCAGUCAUCAAGGAUUAUUUUAAGAAGGCACUGGAUAUGGUGAAUCGGGUUUUAUUAACUCCGUAAGGCCUUCAACUCGGUGCCGAUAAGCUAGUUUCCUAUCUGACAAGUCUCAAGAGAACACCGCCAGUUCCACAGAUUCCUACGUCAGCUUAACUACGUAGUGAGAGAUUCACCGAAGCUGAACGUACUGUUUCGCAGAUACCUCAAUGCUUCAAAGAUCUUGUGCAAAAGAAGUGUGAAGAACGUGGGAUCCUAUUCAUGCCGAUGGCAAAUCGAUAUCACGAAGUUAAACAAGUGUACAAAGUUAGCAACUAUAGGUCUACAUCAAUGGAAACGUUCUUUUCUUCAAUCAUAAAACGACUAAUUUGGUUCCUAUUCAUCUCAACGCCUUAUUAGACAUGACAGGACUCUAAUCAGUGGUACGAAAUUACUAAUUGGAAGUAUUUAUCAUUUUUUCUACACAUAUUGUUAUAAUUUAAUUUUUUAUUCUGUCUAGAAAACGGUUGAUUGUUUUUAUGCCCAAAGACAUUAUUUAUUUAUUUAUUUCUUUUUUUUUUUUUUUCGUAAAAUUAAUUAGUUAUAAAAAAACGAUGCUCGAAUAGAAAUAAUCAAUUUUCACAAUUUAAUUAUUCACGAUAACUAGCAAUGAUAUUGAUUCAUUUGAAAAAAUUUAUUAAUGAUUAGCACGAUUGACCAAAGUUUAGUUGAUACUUUUUAAAAUAUUCAACAAAUACAGGGAAUUAAAUUUAUGUUUGAAAAAUUCGGGUGAAAAUAUCUCAAAAACUCACUAAAAUUAUGAUAAUUUUUGCGACAGUCAGAAAGGCCUAUUAUGAUAAAUGGAUUUAAUAUUUAGGCUAUUUCGAUAAUUGGGUUAAGAGCUAUUCAAUGAAAAAUGAAAAAAAUCAUUUUUAUUUAAAUCGUUUCCUUGUUACUCUCUGAAGCCAUGUCGGCUUUUAGUCUGCCGGUGCAAAUUAUUUGAAUUGGACGUGACUAUAGAUCUUCGGAUACAUAGGUAGUUUUGAAAGGCUCGAAAUAACUUGGUUUUUGAUUAAAGAAUAGAUGAGUUUAAUUUAUUCAUAUAAAAUAGAAUAGUCAGAGAAUUUGAUUGAAAAAUACACUUAUAUAAUUGACAAAUAACUUCGAGUCAAAAGAAUGGCAUAAUAAAAUUAAACUGAGUUUAAUAAUUAUAAUCGAAUUAAUUCUGUAUCUUUCCACGAGCCAACGCCCUAGAGAAAAAUAGGAUAGAGAAAAAAGGACUCAUUCCUAAAAAGUGGGAGUUUGUUAUCAUCGUUCGACGCUGAUGCGGUUGCGAGAGCAGUCGAUGAUGCUUCACGAAGUUUCCAGAUUUUUGUGAAAAAAACUAGUUUCUAUUUUCUAUUCUUUUGAUAUUCGUUAUUUGUCAAACAAUCGUUCUUAUCUAUAUUUACUUGUUGACAUUUUUUUCGAGAAAUCGUUGGUGAUGAUUAAGUAUUCUAAUGCAUUGAAAAUAUUUUAUCUGUUUAACUACUUUUCGAUGUAUACCUAUUUAUAUUAUAUACAUCGAUACAAAAUAUAAUAUUAUUAAUGCUACAAUGAUACCCUCGCGAUUUUAGACUUAUUGAAACAAUACCACAAUUACACGGUAUAAAUACUGCUUAAAUAUGGAAUUACUUAUUUUGGCCAGUUUUUUUGUCGGAUUAUUUGUUACGUCCUGGUUGAUGUUUUGGCGCUGGCGUAGUUGAGCGGUCGAUUUGAAGUGGACAUAAUGAGAACUUACAUAUAAUUAUAAAUAAUUAUCAAGUAUGGGUUGAACAGCCACCAUUCGGUGGUUGAAAUAAACUGGUUAUUUGAUUAUAUAUUGUUUUAUAUCUCAAUCCGAUUUAUUCAAUUGUAAAAGAAUAAUUUUAAUAAUGUGAAAAUAUACAAUUGAAUCAAUUUAUAAAUUUGUUAAAGUUCUCCUAACAAUAACUUCAAGAGGGUAAGAACGAAGUUGAGUAUUUAAUAUUGAGCCUAACCGCUCUCAAUGAUUCUAUAUUUCAGACUGCCUUCUCUUGAUCGAGAGAAACUAGAGUAACUCUUAUCAAUACGUUUGGGCAUCAGACCCGCGCAUCGAUUCAUAUGGAGGAGUCAUUCGAGAUAGCGCAUGUUCGUGGGGUUUUCCUCUGCACAACUAUCGCAUUCGUGGUUUUCCACAAGCAUCUGACCGGAGUCAGGAAUCAUCACAGACACUUAGUGUCACAUUACUUUUUCUCGACUCUAUAAGAUUUUAAAAUCAGCGGUAUGUCCUGGAGUCUGUCUCCUUGAGGAGUACUGGCUGUGAAUCUUUUUGAUCUUAAUCCAGGAUCAUCGUUUCUAAGCACGGCGUUAAAAUCCUGACCGUGCAUAUUAAAGUUGCUGUUUAUAGUGUCACCCCAUCCUGGUAUUGCUGCGUCUUGCCUGGUGUAACAAAAUCCAGGCGCUCAUGCAUUUCUAAAUCGCUUAUAAGCAAAUACGUCAGCUAUUGAGAGCUGGUUUGUGCUCAGCAUUGUGGGGGACCAAAGUACGACGGCACAUGGCGAAAGGAACGCACUGGGAGAUAGAGGCGUUACGCACUCUACAAAUGCAAUGGUACUUGACGUUACCUUCGUUGGUAUCACCGGAUUUCCAAUUUUUAUUUGAUGUGCUCUACUUUUAAGCGCGGUUGACACUCGGUCAAACACUUCCGGGAUGGCCUGCGCUCUCAUACUUAUUUCGCUACCUUCAGGCGGGUCGCGUAGUGCGUCUAAUGAAAAAUGUCCUCCAGCAUCUAAUGGCUCUGGAAUCCUAUAGCAGAGGAAGUUUCGGUUAGGCUGGGCAUUGGCCGGGAAAAAUGCAUCCGGCAAGGGUUGCCAAUUUCGUGUCUGUGUUAUUGUAGCUUCAAUCAGCUUACGUGAAAUGUAUGGACUAGGGUAACAUUCAUGUACAUUGUGUGUAACUGCGUUACACUCUCCGAAUGUACCGGCAACCGUAUUAUUCGGUCCGUCGUGUGGUAUUCUGGUAACUUUACAGUUUAAUUACAGUUGUUAUGACCUCCACCUAUCGGGAGGUUGAUUAGUUAAUUCAGUAUAAUUUUAAUUAUUUAUAUUGAGUUAUUUCGCCCGGGAAUAUUUAAAUACUCAGCUUUGGCACGCCGAUUAUAAAUUGGUAAAGGACUGUUCAAUAAAAAACAAAGUUUAUUUUGUUCGUUAACAAUUCAAUUUGAAAAUAUAUUUUAGAUUAGUACAAUUACAUUCGCGCUCAAUCUUCUGGCUUCUUCUGCCUUACAAAAAUUAAUUUUAAAACCGACAUCCCUCUGCAAUUUUUUCAAACAUUAUGAAUUUACCAUACUAUUAUUUAUUAAAUAAUCUACCUUUUCUGAAAUCACAGUUGAUGAAUUAAAACGAUCUUUUGUUUGGUUCCAUGCCUCGGCUUUUCCACCUAAUGAAACUGCAUCACUUUUUUUAUUUUCAAUCACAUGUGAGAAGUCUUUUAAGAUUUGAAGAAAGUAUUUUUUUCAACUUGAAUAUAAUGGCUACUUUUUGUCCCUCCAGUCAUAUUUCAGAAAUCUUAUAUUCUGGGAACCAAUUUUUCACUAUCCACAACAAUAGCACCUUUGCUGUUCUGUGCAAAACAAUUUUGCUUAUACUUCAUAGUAUAAAUUCAUAUUUACAAUGAUUAUUUCAUGUACAUAUAUAAUUAUUGCAUGUAAAAUAAUUUUCGAAAUCAAAUUACAACUAUUCAAUCUUUGAGAAAUUUCUUCAAAUACGAAAUCGAUUUUUCUUUUAUCAGAUUAUAAAAACUAAAUUUAGAUGUUGAAAUAAAUUCUUCUCUGAAUUUCCGGAGAGUUUUAGUCAUGUUCACAAAGUAAGUUCUCCGUUUGCCAAUCGCCACAGUUUCACAGCUUCUUUUAUUCUUCAUUUUACUUUAUCCAACACACUUCUGCUAUCACUUCUAUUAUAUAUGUCUUAGAGGUCUGAUAAGCGAACGGUCAAUUUCGUAGUAAUUUGGCUCCUUCCCGUAUUUUUAUAAAUUAAUCUGUUGAUAAGAUUUUUAACGACUAAAGAACACAAUUAGUCGUUAAAAAGCGAAUGAAAAAAUCAGAAUAAUCGAAACGAAACAGUUUCGAUCUAAUAAGAUUAAAUUUCAUUAAAAUCAUAAUUAUUAAAAAAAUAGAAAAAAAAUUUUGAAAUAUUACUUACUGCUUAUAAAACAUUUAGAAGAUUUGUUUUCAUAUUUUUAUCUGCAUGAUGUUACAUUGUUAAAUAAGAAAUUAUUUCUAAAAAAAUUUACACACAUUUUUUUUGUUCCAUGCUCUUUGCAUGGAAAUGUUAAUGCUUUUGUAUCGAGUUAUUCACUUAAUAAAUUUUCCCAAAUAAAAUCAUUGAUUGUAGAAUUUUUUAACACCAUUUCAAAAACAUUUUCGAUCUUUUUCAAUAAGCUGUAAAAUCCUAAAUUUGGAUAACUGAACGAGUUUUCUCUCGGGUCGUCUAACGUUAUGGAUGCGACUGGUAAAAAUACUGGUGGUUCAGGAUUCCUAAUAGCAUUAUGACAUGUGUCACAAUUCGAAUGUAUCCUUAUUAAUUUUAUUACACUGUGUCACUUUCCGAAUCUCUUGCUCAAUGCAAUUUAAUAAAUUUAUUACUUUGAGUGAAGGAUACAUGAAAACACCUCGAUUUAAUAAAUUUAUCACUGUAUACAAGCUGUUAUCAUGUUCUUCAGGUUUUGUUAUAAUCGAAUUCAUACAUAUUUUACAAGUUUUUUUCCAUUUUUGCAUUGUUCGAAGAAGAUAGCCAGCUACGUAUACUACUACAUAUUUGAUAUAGUCAUGUGACGGGAUUUCGAUUUUAUCCAUCACAUACUUUGCUCGGUCAUCAUUGGUGCCUUCAUCAAUAUCUUUAUGGAGAAUCCCAUCUAAAAUUUUUCCCGAUUCAUGUUUUCAAGCAUUUCAAUUGAUUUUGAACAUCGAUCGCUGCAUUGCAUUAAACUAUGUGCCGUUUCUUCACCUGAUACACUACUACCUUUCAAAGGCUUUAAUAACGUGUACGUACACAGCAAAUGAAACAUUUGUCCAAAUAAUACCAAAUCGGGAUGAUCAUUCAAUCCGCAGACAUUUCUGGCUAAUCCGAAAAACAGCUAAAAAUUGAAUAAACAUUUAUAUAUAAAUAUGUAUAGGUAUACAUAUUCAUAUCCAUGAGUGUGGCAGAAAUAUUCUGUCAAUUGCAUGACCGCUUUAAUUGUGAUUUUAAAAAUUUAACAAAUACUAUCUGUAAUAAAUACGCUGUUUUGGUAUUCUUGGGCAUGAAUUUCCUCCUAUUCUUUCAAAUAUUAUAAAAACUUAGCAAGGAACUAUACAUAAACGAAAAAAUUUGAUAUAUUUGUUAUUGAACGCAUUUCUAAGUAAUAAAGUUCAAGAAUAUUUUGCUUACACGAAAGUCUGGAGAUUUGGGCUUAAAACCUUCUUUUGUAUUCCUUAUACUCAUUACUUGAAUUACUCUUUAUAUAAAUUAUAAAUUUUAAUGUUGGCUCACAUUGAAAUAAUUUUCUCAACUUCGUAUAAAUACAAUGCUUUUCAGUCUUUACAGACAAUGAGAAUAACUAGAAAUGUAAAUGAAUUGAAAAAAAAUUAUUAAUAUUCAAAUUCUUUCAAAGUUGACUAUUAUCCUGGCGAUAGCAGCCAUCUAUUUGUUUCUGCAGAACUAUAUUUCGUGCAAGUCUCAUUUUAUUUUAGUGUUAUGUAUCCACCUAUCAAGAGGUGGAUUGAUUAAAUCACUAAUAAUAAAUUACCCAUACUGGGUUAAUUCGCCCGGGAAUAUUUAAAUAUUCAGCUUUGGUAACAGCUCUUGCAUCCGUAAGUUUAACGAGAUUUCGAGCUAGUGAUAACUUCAUUUUUUCCGGUUUUUUCAUGACAUAGCAGCUCUAUUCUAUAAAAAUCUGGAAGAAGUAACAGUUCUUUCUGAAGAUUGAGUAUUGCGCUUGUCGCUGGUUUUGAGGUUUCAACGUAAUUCGAGAUGCAAUUCCAAUAAAUUGAAGUCAAUUUUGGAAAACGCUUUUUGAAUUUUUUAAAUUUUAGUAAGGAACUUAACAUAUCGUAUCUAGAUCUGUUUUAUUCAAUGAAUAAAGAGGUAGUUGAAGAAUUGUGAAAUGUACAAUCGAGAUGAUUUACAAUAUUGUUAAGGUAUUCUUAACAAUAGCUUCAAGAAAAUGAGAACGAAGUCAAGUUUUUUAUUCUAAGUCUGACUACUCUCGAUGAUUCUAUCUUUCAGACUGACUUCUCUUGAUCGAGAAAAACUAGAGUAACUCUUAUCAAUACGUUUGGGCAUCAGACCCGCGUAUCGAUUCAUAUGGAGGAGUCAUUCGAGAUAACGCAUGCUCUCGAAUGAUCCAUUCUAAUAUUCAUUGAGAAUAUUUAAUUCUCGCGAUCUCUCCGCUUUUGUUACUAACAAAUGAGUCACUUAUCUAUUAACAAAAGUUAUCUUAAACAAAAUAUAUGUUUGUGCAGCUGCACGUCUCGUGGAUUUACUCGAGGCGUCAACGCUUAUUUAUACUUGUUAUGUCCGACUAUUAUUUAUUUAAUUAUUUUGGUUGCGUGGAUUAGGCGUUCGGACUAACCAAUGCAAUUUUCGGCUCAAAUGUUUAGUUCAAGCCUUAAUUUGUUUGUUUUGGGAUACGUUUCGAUGUGGACUUUCUUUUAUUUCUAAUUCGGUUAAAAUAGAGUUAUCUUUGUGGGUAGAUGAAUGUAAAAAAUGCGCUAAUCAAUACAUACGAUUUUAACUUAAUAGCGUCCUUAAUUCCUCUUAAAUUUUUGAGGCUGGUUGGAAAAGUUGUUAAAAUUGAAAA